RNAcentral lists this long non-coding RNA (1208 nucleotides) under Pan troglodytes (chimpanzee). RNAcentral's name for it is "long non-coding RNA NONPTRT008538". The record is from RNAcentral. Lineage: Eukaryota; Metazoa; Chordata; Mammalia; Primates; Hominidae.
CAGGGGUAUAAAAACAGAGCGAAAGCACUUGGGGGUGGGGGUGGAGGGGUGGCCCCCACAGGCAAUACUGAGAUGGCCCGGGUCACCGUGGUGCCCUCCAGAAUGGAGCCCUGAGUCCCCCAAGCAGAGGGCAGGAGGGAGAGAUGGCCGAGGCUCAUGCGGGGCCAGUAACCCCAGCUGGGCCCCUCCCAGGCGUGGCCCACAGCUCCCUCUCCUCAGGCCCUCGGGGUGUGAGAUGCUGCGGCAGCUGUGUGGGUGGGGGUGGUCCCUCACGUCCUCUCCCCCAUUCCUCUCCUUGCAAAAGGCCUGGGGGAUGUAGAGAAGAGGGGAGACGGGGAGAGAUGGAGACAGAGACAGGGAGAGACAGACACAGAGACAAGACAGGGAGAGCAGAGAGAGAAGGGGAGGUGGGGAGAGGCAGGCGGGCACAGAGACAGAAACAGAUUAUCAGAAACAGAGACACAGAGAUGAGAAACACGAGGUGGAGUGGGGAGAUUCAGAAAAGACAAAGAGGGAGAUGGACAGAAGGGGCUGUAGGGAUGCGAGCUCUGGAGGGGGACCCUCCUUUCAGGACAGCGUCCUGGCCCCCAGGUGCCCCACUCACCUUCCUGGGCGGGAACCUCAAGUGCAGCCAGGCUGGGGGACAGAGUUCCCCCCAAGCUGAGACAGGAGGGGUCGCAGGCGGCAAAAUUCCUCCUCCAACUCCUGGUGGGGUGGGGGUCAUGGAUGAGGGGGGCCCCUUCCUUCCCCGGCCCACUCAGGGCACCCCUGGCCCGUCCCGCCCCACCUCCAGCUGCUUCAUGGUCUCCUCCAAGCUGAGCAGGUUCUCCUGGAUUUCCUGGGUCCGUGCUGGGCUCAGGGGGCCGCCCCCUGGGACCCCAUCCCCAUCUCGAGGAGGCCCCGCCCCAUUGUCUUCCUCCGCCGGAAACAGAAGCUGCUUCAGGGACAGCACUGGCCAGGGGCAAGGGGGGGCGGAGUCAGGAGACCAGGGGGCUGGGCUGGGAUCUGGGAUGGGGGAUUCUGAAGGGGAUGUGUAGGGGCUGGAGGUGAAGGUGGGUGCCAGGCAAGGCUGAGCAGAUGGGGUUCGGGGAUCCAAAGAGAGGUGAAGAAGUGAGGCUGGGUUUAGGGUUGGGACAGGGCAGGAAGGUACUGAAGACAGAGAUGUGUUCAGGAAGAGGCUAAAUAUAGAAUCAAGCAAGGGAUAAUGG